UACGUAGGGUGCGAGCGUUAAUCGGAAUUACUGGGCGUAAAGCGUGCGCAGGCGGUUUUGUAAGCCAGAUGUGAAAUCCCCGGGCUUAACCUGGGAAUGGCAUUUGGGACUGCAAGGCUUGAGUGCGGCAGAGGAGACUGGAAUUCCCGGUGUAGCAGUGAAAUGCGUAGAUAUCGGGAGGAACAUCGGUGGCGAAGGCGGCAUCCUGGACCGGUAUUGACGCUGAGGCGCGAAAGCCAGGGGAGCAAACGGG
RNAcentral lists this ribosomal RNA (253 nucleotides) under uncultured bacterium. RNAcentral's name for it is "partial 16S ribosomal RNA". It matches the Rfam family "Bacterial small subunit ribosomal RNA", at positions 524 to 776 of the family's 1533-position model. The record is from RNAcentral.